CCUACGGGUGGCAGCAGUGAGGAAUAUUGGUCAAUGGGCGCGAGCCUGAACCAGCCAAGUAGCGUGAAGGAUGACUGCCCUACGGGUUGUAAACUUCUUUUAUACAGGAAUAAAGUGAGGCACGUGUGCCUUUUUGUAUGUAUUGUAUGAAUAAGGAUCGGCUAACUCCGUGCCAGCAGCCGCGGUAAUACGGAGGAUCCGAGCGUUAUCCGGAUUUAUUGGGUUUAAAGGGAGCGUAGGUGGGUUGUUAAGUCAGUUGUGAAAGUUUGCGGCUCAACCGUAAAAUUGCAAUUGAUACUGUCAGGCUUGAGUGCAGUUGAGGUAGGCGGAAUUUGUGGUGUAGCGGUGAAAUGCUUAGAUAUCACGAAGAACUCCGAUUGCGAAGGCAGCUUACCAAGCUGCCACUGACGUUGAUGCUCGAAAGUGUGGGUAUCAAACAGGAUUAGAUACCCCGGUAGUC
Molecule: ribosomal RNA, 460 nt
Filed under: uncultured bacterium
Lineage: Bacteria
Description: partial 16S ribosomal RNA
Rfam family: Bacterial small subunit ribosomal RNA
Source: RNAcentral